Molecule: ribosomal RNA, 273 nt
Filed under: uncultured bacterium
Lineage: Bacteria
Description: partial 16S ribosomal RNA
Rfam family: Bacterial small subunit ribosomal RNA
Source: RNAcentral
CCCUACGGGGCGCAGCAGUGGGGAAUAUUGCCCAAUGGGGGAAACCCUGAUGGUGCGACGCCGCGUGGGGGAAUGAAGGUCUUCGGAUUGUAAACCCCUGUCAUGUGGGAGCAAAUUAAAAAGAUAGUACCACAAGAGGAAGAGACGGCUAACUCUGUGCCAGCAGCCGCGGUAAUACAGAGGUCUCAAGCGUUGUUCGGAAUCACUGGGCGUAAAGCGUGCGUAGGCUGUUUCGUAAGUCGUGUGUGACAGUCGCGGGCUCAACCCGCGGCC